AUUUCUAUUCUUUUUUUAGGCAAAAGCGAAGAAAGAGAACAAAAAAGGCUUUGCUAAGCUACUUUCCAACAGAUUACUCGAAUGCAAUUUUGAUGAUUUUCGAUAAAAGAUCACUCUUCAAACCCUGUUGGCUUUCUGACACCUGUUAAAAAUGUCUCCGAGGUUUUAUAAUAUUCUCAACUACCUGUAUUCUAAGGACAUAAUUACUUUUCUCAACACUACAAGUUAUAGUUUUUCAUCUAACAUUUAUCUAACGGAAUCAACAUCGCGAUGCGGUCAAAAUCAUCGACUUAUGAUUUAUUGGUAAAAGAAAGUGGUUACAUCUAUUCAAUUUAAAAGGAAUUUUUGAAUUUAUCUA
Long non-coding RNA from Episyrphus balteatus (marmalade hoverfly), 358 nucleotides. RefSeq lists it as uncharacterized. The transcript is spliced from 3 exons. Lineage: Eukaryota; Metazoa; Arthropoda; Insecta; Diptera; Syrphidae. The record is from RefSeq and is a predicted model, not a curated record.